CGGAGGGAGCGCGAGGAGGGGGCGGCGGCGGGUCCCACCUGAAGUCCUUGUCGCUGGAUGUCAUUUUCUCCAGCAGGUUGGAGAUGUGUUUCAGUUCACACAGGAGCUGUGAGCCUGCUGAUGGACAGAGGAUAUUGGGAAUGUGCUGCAUCUUUAUCUGUCAGUGUAGAAAGAGCUAUACCACGCAGCUUUACUCAGCUUAAAGGAGUCAAGGCUGCUGAAGCGGCGGCAGUCUCCGGGGUAUUUCCAUUUUCUGGCCGUCCUGCAUGCAGGUGGUGGUACUGAAGAAGGGCUUACCAACAACUGGUCUCCAGCUCAGCACUGAACAUCUUCAUGGAUGUCAACAGCCAUUUGAACAGAAACACCAAUUAAUUUAUAUUGCAAAAAUUCCCACCAUUAGGAUUGAAUCCUGGGGCUUAGAGUCUUUCGACAUGAUAUUGCUCUUUGAUAUAAAUUGUUAACCACAUGUUUAUGUGCUAAAAUUAGUUAACACAGUGUCAUAAGUGUGAGAGUUGUUUCAAUGCAUAUAUUAUU
Lepidothrix coronata (blue-crowned manakin) is the source of this 534-nucleotide long non-coding RNA. RefSeq lists it as uncharacterized. The record is from RefSeq and is a predicted model, not a curated record. The transcript has 3 exons. NCBI's taxonomy places the organism in Eukaryota, Metazoa, Chordata, Aves, Passeriformes, Pipridae.